RNAcentral lists this ribosomal RNA (433 nucleotides) under uncultured bacterium. Its description in RNAcentral is "partial 16S ribosomal RNA". It matches the Rfam family "Bacterial small subunit ribosomal RNA", at positions 29 to 507 of the family's 1533-position model. The record is from RNAcentral.
AACGAACGCUGGCGGCAUGCCUAACACAUGCAAGUCGAACGGGACCUUCGGGUCUAGUGGCGCACGGGUGCGUAACGCGUGGGAACCUGCCCUUAGGUUCGGAAUAACUCCCCGAAAGGGGUGCUAAUACCGGAUAAUGUCUUCGGACCAAAGAUUUAUCGCCUUUGGAUGGGCCCGCGUUGGAUUAGCUAGUUGGUAGGGUAAAAGCCUACCAAGGCGACGAUCCAUAGAUGGUCUGAGAGGAUGAUCAGCCACACUGGGACUGAGACACGGCCCAGACUCCUACGGGAGGCAGCAGUGGGGAAUAUUGGACAAUGGGCGAAAGCCUGAUCCAGCAAUGCCGCGUGAGUGAUGAAGGCCUUAGGGUUGUAAAGCUCUUUUACCCGGGAUGAUAAUGACAGUACCGGGAUAAUAAGCUCCGGCUAACUCCGUG